CAAUUAUGAGAGGCCAUUGUUUUGGACAAAGCUCAUGUACCAGACCCCAACAGACUAGGCCAAACAAAAAUGGAGUCGCUUAUGCUAAAUGUGACAUGAUCAAACUGAAACUUUAAGGAAAUAGAUCCUGUAAAUAAAUCCCACUUCUUACACCAUCUAUUAAAAGAACAACUUCAGACUUUUUUUUUUUUUUAAUUUCCUUUGAGGUGCAGUAUUCUUUGGACACAAAUAAUGAAGGAUCCUUCUCCAGGAGACACAAGACUAAGAAAAAUGUCCUUAAGGCACCUGAAUGGACACCUGCACUUCUGAUAGGUCCUGGUGUCACCUGAUACCUAGUUGCAAACUGAAACGGGAGGUAGAGGAAGAGGGUUAGAUGAACCCACAUGGAGGACCGAAACCCAGAUCUCAGCAUCCAGUCCUGCGACCUGGAGGACUCUAUGAUCUCUAAGUGGAUGAACUAGACCUCUACUGCCUCACCAGAUAUCCCUUUUCCUUUGUCUCCAGGAACCUGUCGGAAGAGAAGGGAAGCAGUGUGUACUGAAUGCCAUUUCUGGGCCAGGCAUUGUUCUAGGCACUUUACCUAUGUUCACUCACUUACUUCUCAUAAAACUCAUGUUUCCAUUUCACACAGUAAAAUGAGGCUCCAAAGAGUUACAUCAUUUGUAGUAAAUAGCAGAAUGAGGAUUCAAACCUUCCUGACUCCCAAGUCCUGCCUCUUGCUUAUUGCACACCAAUUCCCCUAAGCUAGGAUGAUGAUAUUGCAGUGCCACUCUCAUGAAAAGCCCAGGGUGGUGAGAAGGGUGUCUGCUGGCUCUCUCCUUGGACUCCAAAGGCAGUUGACAGUCUCCUAACAUUCACAAAUGUAAUUGAAUGCAACCUCCACAUUUUUUGAGAUCUGUACUCUUUUACAAAGCUCAUUCAUUUAGUCACAGCCUAAUCAUGAGCUCUUUAUUGGGAAAUUCAACGUUUGGUGGAACCAGAGACAUGGCACUGAUCCUCUGCAUCUGUAUUAGUUUGUGUUUAUUGAAUUACUUAUGUGCCACUCCAGGAAACACCAGUAUUAAUAUUUUGACCUGGCAAAAAGCGAAAAUGAUUAACUCAGUAAUGUGAAACUGUUGAUGCAAAUUUGCAACUAGAAUUAGAACACAGACUGAGAUCAACAGUCAGUCUGCUGUUUGCUCUUUUGAGUACUGUUUGCAUGGAAAGUUAAGGAUGAAAGUAAACCAAAUCAAGAGUGGUUCCAUUCUUAAACCUUCAAAGGCUUAAUGGGAUGUUUAGUUCAGUGCCUUAAAGCACAUAAAUAGCUGUAAGCUCAGCAACAUGGUUCCGAUGUCUAGAUUAGAUUUACCAGUCUUUGUUUAUACAUGCAAAGUCAAAUAGAGGACUGAUGCAAUUAUCAGUAUAAUUCAGGCCAAAUGUUUGCUACAUGAAUAUUUAGCUGGUCAUUACUAAGUGGGGGAACUUUUUUGCUACCAUUCCUCUAACGGUCUUAUAUCUCUAUUUUAUAUUUGUCAGAUACAGCUUUAAGAUAAGCAGCCAAGAUCCCACUUUUCAGUGCAAUAAAUUAAUAUGUCAUUUAGCCUCUUAAAGCUCCCCUCUUGCCCUUCUGAAAAUGGACAUAAACUAUUAGGUUGGUGCAAAAGUAAUUUCAGUUUAUAUGCCUUAUAAAGGUUUUGCCUUUGAUCUCUACAUUGAAUCCAUCUGCACAGCCCUGGAAAGGAAGUAAAUAAAGAAUUGCAGCAAUUAAAGAAUCUCCUGUUCUCCUCAGUUCUCACUACCCCGAUAAUACCCUCUUGAAUUCUAAACAAAAUGCAUGAUUUAAAUACAAUCAGUAUAAGGUUAAAUAUUCCCCUCCAACAAACGGUCCAUUAUGCAUCUUUCCAGAUUCUCUUUUAAUUGUGUGUGAAACUGGGUGUUCUUGACAGUUAAAUGAAAUCUAAUUGUUACAUGGCCUAUAUUUGGCCCUUAGAAAACAAAGGGUCAUAGCUUUUUCUUUCAGAUUGUUGAAGAGAUGGAACAAUUGUUCUGAUCUCUUGAGAAGUGUAUGUAAGUGGUUGAAAAAACUACACCUCUGUAAGUGUCUAACUUAAUCCCUUUAGCAACUGAGAGGAUCAUGAUCAAGAGCAGGACUUACAAAAGAUUAUGUCCAAAUUCUUGACUACCCAAACCCUAUUCCUCCAGAAUAUAUUCUUUAUGUGCCUUAUUAGGAAGAAACUCAAGAAUGGAAACAUUUUAUAUUUGUGUAACACUCUUUUACAAAGCACUUUAACAUGUAUUGUUUCAUUUUGCUUGCUUAACAGCCCUUUGACAUGGACAGGGAAUACUGUCUACAUUUUAUAAAGAGAAACUGAGGCCCAAAGAGGUUAAGUAGUGGCCUGUCCAAAAUCACAGAAUUAAUAAGAGAAGCCUGGGACCCAAGAUCAUAUUUCCUAAGUCCAAAUUUAGUGAUGUCUCUAUUCUUCCUCACUAGUUCCCUGCUCAUAAAAUGUCAGUAGAGAGGGGGCUAUCAAAACUGAUCCUUUCAUUCAUAUCCCAAAUCUCAGCAUCAUGCAAUAUGCCAGGUAGCAAACCUGUGCAUGUACCCCAAAUCUAAAAUAAAAUUGAAAAAAAUUAAUAAAUUGUUAUUUUUUGAAAUGGAUUCUUUCACAUCUUGGAUUUUCACUUUUAUUUUUUAAAAGUCAGACAUUUCAAGAUCUUGAGACCUAGUAAAGCCUUUAAGAAAUUAGUAAUAUCAUGUUUAAUUACUAGAAAUGAAUUUCUUCUCUUAUUUGCUCUGUAAUCAUAAGGCAUAAGUAACCUAAAAGAGCUCACUUCAUGAAUAGCCUGCAAGGCCGAUGGGUCAUCAAUAAGACCCUGAAUAAAGCCAACUGUUAACUGAGUGCCAGUUCCAUUCUAUGUAGCUUGGCAUUUUUCACAAAUGUGAUACAAGUUUCCUUUUGCUUUAUUUAUCUAUUUCCUUAUGUAACUGACCUUAAGUGAUUGUAUAACAGUGCAAGACUGUGAUUCAGUGCACUGUUCUUUCCUACUUAGUAUUAUUACAAGCUAUUGGAGAAAUACUGCUGAUGUUCUCCGAAAAGGAAGCUUUUAAUAUUCCAUUUAAAGAUAUUGUUGUGUUUUUCUGGGAGAAGGAAUAAAAG
RNAcentral lists this long non-coding RNA (3137 nucleotides) under Homo sapiens (human). Its description in RNAcentral is "long non-coding RNA NONHSAT166729.1". Lineage: Eukaryota; Metazoa; Chordata; Mammalia; Primates; Hominidae. The record is from RNAcentral.